RNAcentral lists this ribosomal RNA (468 nucleotides) under uncultured bacterium. Its description in RNAcentral is "partial 16S ribosomal RNA". It matches the Rfam family "Bacterial small subunit ribosomal RNA", at positions 29 to 507 of the family's 1533-position model. The record is from RNAcentral.
UACGAACGCUGGCGGCGUGCUUAACACAUGCAAGUCGAACGGAAAGGCCCUGCUUUUGUGGGGCGCUCGAGUGGCGAACGGGUGAGUAACACGUGAGUAACCUGCCCUUGACUUUGGGAUAACUUCAGGAAACUGGGGCUAAUACCGGAUAGGAGCUCCUGCUGCAUGGUGGGGGUUGGAAAGUUUCGGCGGUUGGGGAUGGACUCGCGGCUUAUCAGCUUGUUGGUGGGGUAGUGGCUUACCAAGGCUUUGACGGGUAGCCGGCCUGAGGGGGUGACCGGCCACAUUGGGACUGAGAUACGGCCCAGACUCCUACGGGAGGCAGCAGUGGGGAAUAUUGCACAAUGGGCGGAAGCCUGAUGCAGCAACGCCGCGUGCGGGAUGACGGCCUUCGGGUUGUAAACCGCUUUCGCCUGUGACGAAGCGUGAGUGACGGUAAUGGGUAAAGAAGCACCGGCUAACUACGUG